UACAGAGGGGGCAAGCGUUGUUCGGAAUUACUGGGCGUAAAGGGCGCGUAGGCGGCCUUCUAAGUCGAACGUGAAAUCCCCGGGCUCAACCCGGGAACUGCGUCCGAGACUGGAAGGCUUGAAUCCGGGAGAGGGAUGUGGAAUUCCAGGUGUAGCGGUGAAAUGCGUAGAUAUCUGGAGGAACAUCGGUGGCGAAGGCGGCAUCCUGGACCGGUAUUGACGCUCAUGUGCGAAAGCGUGGGGAGCAAACAGG
Molecule: ribosomal RNA, 253 nt
Filed under: uncultured bacterium
Lineage: Bacteria
Description: partial 16S ribosomal RNA
Rfam family: Bacterial small subunit ribosomal RNA
Source: RNAcentral